UAUAAACAGAGCAGUUCCCUGUCCCGGCAGGACAGGCAGUAACAUUGUCUGGCAGCAAGGUUCCAUGCAACAUCCUGGAGAACAAGGACUCAGAAAACAAGUGUCUACAAUACUGCAAGUCCAGAAGCCAAGUCAAGGGUCAAAGUACCAGGUGUCAGUCUGAAUCUAAUGGUUUAUGUCAACAGUAAAACUAGUUCAUGCUCAAGGCCAGACCAGAGGUCAGGAGCCAAGAAAUCUAACACACAGCAUGAGUUGAAACUUGGCAUCCUGAGAUCUUCAAUGUGAAAUCAACUUUUAAAAAAAUCGAGGGGAAAUGACUAGCUUUAGAGUAACAGAGGAAGUUGUUAUUUCUGAAUAAAUAUUUCUGUGCGUCGAUUCCUUGUAAGACUCAUUAUAUUUAAAACAAAUAAUGGAAAAUUAAAAGUUCAUAAUACAGUUUCACUGCAUUUAAGGGCCUUUCCCCAAUGGACACAGAAAAUUUAGCCGCAUAUGCUUUCUGUAAUAUGCAGUAGAUUGCUUAUAUGGCAAAUAAAAUGUCUACUUUAUUAAGUAUAAUGAUUGCAUACUGGCAUUACAAAUAUCUUUUGGAAAAAUACGGGGCUUGUGUAAGAUGUUACCAUCUUUUAAAGAGCUUGUGUGGUGAAGCUCUCUUUUUAGCUUAUAUAGUAGCACAUAUUUCCUGU
Alligator mississippiensis (American alligator) is the source of this 683-nucleotide long non-coding RNA. RefSeq lists it as uncharacterized. The record is from RefSeq and is a predicted model, not a curated record. The transcript is spliced from 3 exons. NCBI's taxonomy places the organism in Eukaryota, Metazoa, Chordata, Crocodylia, Alligatoridae.